Lepisosteus oculatus (spotted gar) is the source of this 563-nucleotide long non-coding RNA. RefSeq lists it as uncharacterized. Lineage: Eukaryota; Metazoa; Chordata; Actinopteri; Semionotiformes; Lepisosteidae. The record is from RefSeq and is a predicted model, not a curated record.
GGGUUCUGUCUGUGUGAAGCUCAGCCCACUGUCUCCUCUAUAUAAGAGCUCAGGACUGUCCUCUCAGCUGAAGUGCACUGGAGGAGAAUCAGCAUUCUGGCUCUUCAUGCUGUUAGAGAUACAACAAUGUUCAUGCACUUAAACCUUGUAUUCUUGCUCGGAUAUGCCAAUUUUGUGAGUGGUGACAUCCAGCUAAACCAGUCAGGUCCAGAAGUGAAGAAGCCAGGAGAGUCUGUGAAGCUGUCCUGUACAGUCUCUGGGUUUUCCCUGAGCAGUAAUUAUAUGGCCUGGAUUCGUCAGGCUCCUGGGAAAGGGCUGGAGUGGAUUGGAGACACUGGCUCAAACUAUGCCCCAUCUUUUCAAGGAAGAUUCACCAUCUCUGAAGAUGUUUCCAGUGAGACAACAUACUUACAAAGCAGCAGUCUGAAGGCUGAAGACACUGCUGUGUAUUACUGUGCUCGUAUAGUCACAGUGAUUCAUACUGCCACAGACGUAAUACAAAUACUGUUUCCUCUGGGGGCUGGUGCAGAACUUGAAUUAAUAAAUGGUGAAAAGGAGCUUAA